UACGUAGGAUCCAAGCGUUAUCCGGAAUUACUGGGCGUAAAGCGUGAGCAGGUGGUUUGAUAGGUCAGAUGCGAAAUCUUGCGGCUCAACCGUAUAGACUGUGUCUGAAACCAUCUAACUAGAGGUCGGUAGAGGCAAGCGGAAUUUGUAGUGUAGCAGUGAAAUGCGUAGAUAUUACAAGGAACACCAAUGGCGAAGUCAGCUUGCUGGGCCGCACCUGACACUCAGUCACGAAAGCGUGGGGAGCGAACGGG
Molecule: ribosomal RNA, 254 nt
Filed under: uncultured bacterium
Lineage: Bacteria
Description: partial 16S ribosomal RNA
Rfam family: Bacterial small subunit ribosomal RNA
Source: RNAcentral